UAGUCCGGAUUGGAGUCUGCAACUCGACUCCAUGAAGUCGGAAUCGCUAGUAAUCGUAGAUCAGAAUGCUACGGUGAAUACGUUCCCGGGCCUUGUACACACCGCCCGUCACACCAUGGGAGUGGGUUGCAAAAGAAGUAGGUAGCUUAACCUUCGGGAGGGCGCUUACCACUUUGUGAUUCAUGACUGGGGUGAAGUCGUAACAAGGUAACCGUAGGGGAACCUGCGGUUGGAUCACCUCCUUACC
RNAcentral lists this ribosomal RNA (247 nucleotides) under Vibrio parahaemolyticus. RNAcentral's name for it is "partial 16S ribosomal RNA". It matches the Rfam family "Bacterial small subunit ribosomal RNA", at positions 1288 to 1533 of the family's 1533-position model. Lineage: Bacteria; Pseudomonadati; Pseudomonadota; Gammaproteobacteria; Vibrionales; Vibrionaceae. The record is from RNAcentral.